This 75-nucleotide transfer RNA is filed under the name Streptococcus agalactiae. Its description in RNAcentral is "tRNA-Asn(gtt)". It matches the Rfam family "tRNA". Rfam says of the family: Transfer RNA (tRNA) molecules are approximately 80 nucleotides in length. RNAcentral also lists the same sequence under 16 other names. The record is from RNAcentral. Lineage: Bacteria; Bacillati; Bacillota; Bacilli; Lactobacillales; Streptococcaceae.
UCCGCGAUAGCUCAAUGGUGGAGCAUUCGGCUGUUAACCGACAGGUUGGAGGUUCGAGUCCUCUUCGCGGAGCCA